RNA transcript from Andrographis paniculata, 934 nucleotides. RefSeq lists it as uncharacterized. The record is from RefSeq and is a predicted model, not a curated record. NCBI's taxonomy places the organism in Eukaryota, Viridiplantae, Streptophyta, Magnoliopsida, Lamiales, Acanthaceae. The transcript is spliced from 5 exons.
UGUUGGAACUAUGAGAUGAGAUAGACGAGGGAGGCAGCAGAUCCGAUUCAGUUAAUUUUCUUUGAGGCUCGAUUAGGAACAGAACUAUGGAUGGUAGCGAGAGUAUUCUUCAUUGGUCUGGGCGGAGGCUUUGGAGAUGAAUCGACAUCUACAUCUGUUGCCAACGGCUGCUGCUUCCAGGAUAAAGUCGAUCUGAUACAAAAGAAAGGAAAGGUACAAAUAUUUGGAGAAUGCUAUUGGAGUUUAAUAAAGUCCAGAAGAGAAUAGAUGCUAAUUUCCCGCAGAUCGCCAGUAUUUAUAAAGAGCAUACCCGAGAUACAUAAUGGUUAACACUAGAAAUCGCGUCUCGAGAACUCGUGUGUCUCAGCGUAGCACCCUCUUGGACAAUGAGAUGGUAGAAUCCAGAAAGUUUGUUGAACAAGAUUCAAAAAUUCAAUGGUCUAAUGCGUCUUGGGAGUGUGGUAAGAAGCUGAAGCACUACAAUUCUUUUCUCCGGAAAGGAAUUUCCAUAUUUAUCUGGUCUUUCGUUUGCGUCUGGGGGGAAGAUAAUAGAAGCUACAUCGGCUAUGUAGAAGAUCUGUUUGAAAACCGGAGAAUGGAGAAAGCAGCCCUUAUACACUGGUUUCUGCGCAGCGAGGAUGUUGAAGGCCGAUAGUUUCCGCUGAACAGGGCAUCAGUGAUGUCUUUCUGUCUGUGCUAGGUCUGCAUCGACUAUGCAUUUUCGAGGUUGGGGUGUGCAUAAGCGAUGCAUUCUCCAAUAAUUCCAUUGAUCACUGAUGGUUUUUCCUUAUUGUAAACAAAUUUAGAUUGUUUCAAAUAUUUGAUUUUCUCAUUUGUGACAAAUAGUUUUCGAUAGUGCUGAUGGCAUCCAGUGGGGCUUGCAUUGGCUUUCGGAAUGCGGUGGCAUUUAUUAAUUGUAGUUGGUUGCAACGAA